UCCGGUUGAUCCUGCCGGACCUGACUGCUAUCGGAUUGAUACUAAGCCAUGCGAGUCAUUGUAGCAAUACAAGGCAUACGGCUCAGUAACGCGUAGUCAACCUAACCUAUGGACGGGAAUAACCUCGGGAAACUGAGAAUAAUGCCCGAUAGAACACUAUACCUGGAAUGGUUUGUGUUCCAAAUGAUUUAUCGCCAUAGGAUGGGACUGCGGCCUAUCAGUUUGUUGGUGAGGUAAUGGCCCACCAAGACUAUUACAGGUACGGGCUCUGAGAGGAGUAGCCCGGAGAUGGGUACUGAGACACGGACCCAGGCCCUAUGGGGCGCAGCAGGCGAGAAAACUUUGCAAUGUGCGAAAGCACGACAAGGUUAAUCCGAGUGAUUUGUGCUAAACGAAUCUUUUGUUAGUCCUAGAAACACUAACGAAUAAGGGGUGGGCAAGUUCUGGUGUCAGCCGCCGCGGUAAAACCAGCACCUCAAGUGGUCAGGAUGAUUAUUGGGCCUAAAGCAUCCGUAGCCGGCUCUGUAAGUUUUCGGUUAAAUCUGUACGCUUAACGUACAGGCUGCCGGGAAUACUGCAAAGCUAGGGAGUGGGAGAGGUAGACGGUACUCGGUAGGAAGUGGUAAAAUGCUUUGAUCUAUCGAUGACCACCUGUGGCGAAGGCGGUCUACUAGAACACGUCCGACGGUGAGGGAUGAAAGCUGGGGGAGCAAACCGGAUUAGAUACCCGGGUAGUCCCAGCUGUAAACUAUGCAAACUCAGUGAUGCAUUGGCUUGUGGCCAAUGCAGUGCUGCAGGGAAGCCGUUAAGUUUGCCGCCUGGGAAGUACGUACGCAAGUAUGAAACUUAAAGGAAUUGGCGGGGGAGCACCACAAGGGGUGAAGCCUGCGGUUCAAUUGGAUUCAACGCCGGA
RNAcentral lists this ribosomal RNA (913 nucleotides) under uncultured marine archaeon. RNAcentral describes it as "bacterial SSU rRNA". It matches the Rfam family "Archaeal small subunit ribosomal RNA", at positions 1 to 922 of the family's 1478-position model. The record is from RNAcentral.